Molecule: long non-coding RNA, 1135 nt
Filed under: Sus scrofa (pig)
Lineage: Eukaryota; Metazoa; Chordata; Mammalia; Artiodactyla; Suidae
Description: lncRNA (ENSSSCG00000041387.1)
Source: RNAcentral
GGAAUAAAACUUGGGUUUAUUCAGACCGUGUCCUUCCCUUUUGAGGGGCAGAGUGAGGGGUAGUGGGGGUGGAGGGAAGCUUUGGGUUCUAGGGACAUUGCUGAUUGCCAGCCUUUUCUGUGUGAGCUUUGGAGCAGUGAAGAUGGUGAUGAAGGGGCCCUAGGAUCAAUGUGAAACAGAGACCAAUCCCUUGUCCAGCUGUCCUUCUUCUCUCCAGGAAUUAAGGAGGAGAAGACUCAUAGUAAAAGAAAAAAAGGCUGAAAGUGGAGGGUGACUCAAGGACUGUCUCCCGUAGUGGCUUGCAGACUCACUGGUGUUGGCACGCCUGUCUGUACAUAUCAUAGCCUCCACUGGUAGCCAUAAGCCCCCGUCCUGUUCCUGUGCUUGGGUAGGCACCCACCUCGUCCGGAGCCCAGGGGAUGGGUGGGAGGUGGUGGUGGGAGGUUGAGGGGCUCACUGAGCUGCUGGCUGGAAGUGGCUGCAGGGCAUAGGCGCCAUCCCUGCUUCUGCCAGGCCCCCGCUGAGCUCGGCUGGGCUGCGCAGGAACUGCCUCAUCAAGGGGGAGGUGUGGAGCCCGAGGUGGGGGUCUGGGCCCUUGGUUAGCUCUGUGGGCUCCGUGACCAUGGUGGGGAAUGUGAGUGCUGUGUUCCCACACUGGUUCACCCUCUCAUGCUGCUCAUUCACAGUUCUUGUGGCUCUGUAGCACUGGGAGCCACCUGGCCCAGUCUGCAGCUCCAGAAUGCUCUUCUGCCGCCCAGUGGGCAGGGGGCUGGCUGAGGCAGGAGCAGGCUGGGGCUGUCCAGAGCACUCGGUGGCCUCCCUCUUCCUGGCCUUGUCCUGGACAUCUUUCUGGUGGAGCUGAGCUUGGCCCACAUCCUGGCUGAGGUGUGUGCUUUUCACUGAGACAUCAGGGCUGCCCUGAGGUCUGGGAGCCUCUGGAAGUUUCCUUGUGGCUGACUCGAUAGAGAUGAAGGUUGGGGAGGAGGGUGAAUGUCUGCUGGGAGGUAAUACUCGAGGGAGGCCCCAAUCUUCUCUCAAUGUGUCCAGCCUCCUGGUGGUAGAGGUGGGCAGGGAUGCUUGACUUCUUGCCUCAGUGGGACUUCUGACCUUGGCUUGACUCCAGAUCUCAGUAGGG